AUAGGAGAUAGCGGUCUUUACUUCGUAGUCUGUGGUAAUACCAUGGCCUACUAUUACAACGGUGGCCAUAGAAUCGCGACGUAGAAGAAGAGAAUCAAUUACAUUGUUUAAUGGCGUAGGUUUUCGUAGUUUUCGACGCGAUGUGAUUGUGUGUUAAUUGGUGGAGAAACAUUGUCGUAAUCGGAACGGAUUUCCAUAAUGUACACGUGUUGUAACCGACCAGCACAAAAUUGAAUCAUUUUUUUUCAUUUAUCACAAAUUGGUUAUCAGCAGCAUUUCCACUCUAUAGCAGCAGAAGCCAAGCUGUUCAGUCAACGGAAGACCAUUGUAAUUGCAGUUAAUGAGAUACAACAACUUUGUUGCCAAUAACAAGAUGCUGCAUUUAUUUUUGUCCACAGCCAAAAUAAAAUGCAACUUCUUUCACAGGAGUAACACAUUGUGUGGUUUAAGUUGUUAGCUACCAUAGUCUCCUGAUAGUUUGAGUCUGACAAUAAGCAAUACCAUAUUGUUAUUUGUUUCUUCCCUUUGCAGAGAUGUUAGCUUGUUGUGAUUUUAGACCACAGUAUAGACUGAGCCUUUGUAUCUGUGUCAAACCAGUUACAUCAACUCACUUGUUGUUGACACCCCUGGAGAUAUUACCAAACUUUUGAAAUGGUUGAAGUAGGCACCUAUAAUAUGUCAAUUCAAUUUUAGUGCUAUCAUUGUAAGGAUGGUAACCUGUUAUUAAGUUACACCACCUGUUUCAUUUGGCCAUAGGAUAGAUAGACCAAAAGAGUGAUACUCUUUAAUGUUUGCAGUGUGUUUGUCACAUUCAAUGAAUCCAUAUCUUCUCGUGAAUUGAUGGACUGAAUAAUGUCAGAUUGCCACAAAAAAAAAACACUGGAACCCUUCAGCAUGACUUUGAACCACAAGAUAUUGAUAUUUUUUACAUUCGCCUUUUGGGUUGAACGGUAAAGAGUUUAACGGUUCACUGUUUUAUCCGAAAAUCGUAUAUCCACGAAAUGUUGGCAUCAUUAGUCUAUGAACAGAUAUGCUGAUGACUGAAAUCAAUUGGAUCAGCUGAAAACAUAUGUUGAGACAUCUAUGCAACUUUGUACUUGGAUAUGUGUCAUUCCACUGGUAGUGGCUAAAGAAUCAAACUUGGAAUCGCGUGUCUUCAACCAACUCACCUCAUCUAGGCCUGACCAGUAUCGGCCCGAAGAAAGUAGUCAUCUAGUCACACGUCAGAUAACAAAUCCUGCUAAGAUACAUUUGGUUACCGACUUGACCUGCACGAGGAUUUUAGCCAUAUCGGAUAUCGGAAAGGAACACCUUUACCGAACAUAAUGUUCUUCUAACGUAAAUUAUUGGAUGUUCGUUCUAUGUCGGAUUUAGAUUUCAUUUAGAAAUCCUGGCAGAAGCUUUUCAUUUAUAAGACUAUAGAAGGAUUGCACACACUAAUGUUUUAAAGUAAGUUCCAUAAGCAAAAAUGCUUUGUGCUGAUUUGUUUUUGUUUUGUUUUUGUUUUUAGGUUAAUAUACGUAAUAAAUGGAAAAUGGGGUUUCAGAAUGAGGCGGGAGUUUUUGUCAAUGCUGAAGUUUGGAAACACGAUCGGAAAUACCCAUGAAAUGAAAAACAUUCUCUCGCGUUAUGGUAUUUGUCGUACAUAAAUUGAAGUGCAUAUCUGGGCUCCCUUCUUUUCUGUGGCUCCGUUUCCCCUUGA
This 1702-nucleotide long non-coding RNA is filed under the name Daphnia magna. RNAcentral's name for it is "uncharacterized LOC123471504, transcript variant X2". Lineage: Eukaryota; Metazoa; Arthropoda; Branchiopoda; Diplostraca; Daphniidae. The record is from RNAcentral.